This 483-nucleotide ribosomal RNA is filed under the name uncultured bacterium. RNAcentral's name for it is "partial 16S ribosomal RNA". It matches the Rfam family "Bacterial small subunit ribosomal RNA", at positions 29 to 523 of the family's 1533-position model. The record is from RNAcentral.
AGUGAACGCUGGCGGCGUGCUUAACACAUGCAAGUCGAACGAGAACGGGUUAUAGCUUGCUAUAAUUGUCAGCUAAGUGGCGCACGGGUGAGUAAUGUAUAGGUAAUAUGCCUCUUACUAAGGGAUAACAGAUGGAAACGUUUGCUAAUACCUUAUACUCCUUAUUAACAGAAGUUAAUAAGGGAAAGAUUUAUUGGUAAGAAUUUAGCAUGUAUUGUAUCAGUUAGUUGGUGGGGUAAUGGCUUACCAAGACUAUGACACAUAACUGGUUUGAGAGGAUGAUCAGUCACACUGGGACUGAGACACGGUCCAGACUCCUACGUGAUGCAGCAGUGGGGAAUAUUGCACACUCGACGAAGUCUGAUGCAGCAGCACCGCGUGGAGGAUGACACAUUUCGGUGCGUAAACUCCUUUUAUAUGAGAAGAUAAUGACGGUAUUAUAUGAAUAAGCACCGCCUAACUCCGUGCCAGCAGCAGCCGCGG